RNAcentral lists this ribosomal RNA (228 nucleotides) under uncultured bacterium. RNAcentral describes it as "partial 16S ribosomal RNA". It matches the Rfam family "Bacterial small subunit ribosomal RNA", at positions 568 to 795 of the family's 1533-position model. The record is from RNAcentral.
UGCGUAGGCGGCUUUUUAAGUCGGAUGUGAAAUCCCCGAGCUUAACUUGGGAAUUGCAUUCGAUACUGGGAAGCUAGAGUAUGGGAGAGGAUGGUAGAAUUCCAGGUGUAGCGGUGAAAUGCGUAGAGAUCUGGAGGAAUACCGAUGGCGAAGGCAGCCAUCUGGCCUAAUACUGACGCUGAGGUACGAAAGCAUGGGGAGCAAACAGGAUUAGAUACCCUGGUAGUC